This 424-nucleotide ribosomal RNA is filed under the name Fusobacteriota bacterium. Its description in RNAcentral is "Fusobacteria bacterium partial 16S ribosomal RNA". It matches the Rfam family "Bacterial small subunit ribosomal RNA", at positions 355 to 776 of the family's 1533-position model. Lineage: Bacteria; Fusobacteriati; Fusobacteriota. The record is from RNAcentral.
UGAGGAAUAUUGGUCAAUGGGCGAGAGCCUGAACCAGCCAAGUCGCGUGAAGGAAGACAGUCCUAAGGAUUGUAAACUUCUUUUAUACGGGAAUAACGGGCGAUACGAGUAUUGCAUUGAAUGUACCGUAAGAAUAAGCAUCGGCUAACUCCGUGCCAGCAGCCGCGGUAAUACGGAGGAUGCGAGCGUUAUCCGGAUUUAUUGGGUUUAAAGGGUGCGUAGGUUGUUCGGUAAGUCAGCGGUGAAACCUGAGCGCUCAACGUUCAGCCUGCCGUUGAAACUGCCGGGCUUGAGUUCAGUGGCGGCAGGCGGAAUUCGUGGUGUAGCGGUGAAAUGCAUAGAUAUCACGUGGAACUCCGAUUGCGAAGGCAGCUUGCCAUACUGCGACUGACACUGAAGCACGAAGGCGUGGGUAUCAAACAGG